UACCCCUAGCAAAUCUCAAAAAACCGUCUCAGUUCGGAUUGUACUCUGCAACUCGAGUGCAUGAAGGUGGAAUCGCUAGUAAUCGCAGAUCAGCACGCUGCGGUGAAUACGUUCCCGGGCCUUGUACACACCGCCCGUCACACCAUGGGAGUUGGCUUUACCCGAAGGCGUUUCGCUAAUCGCAAGGAGGCAGGCGACCACGGUAGGGUCAGCGACUGGGGUGAAG
Molecule: ribosomal RNA, 226 nt
Filed under: uncultured bacterium
Lineage: Bacteria
Description: partial 16S ribosomal RNA
Rfam family: Bacterial small subunit ribosomal RNA
Source: RNAcentral